CAGUAGCCGCGGUAAUACAGAGGGUGCGAGCGUUAAUCGGAUUUACUGGGCGUAAAGCGUGCGUAGGCGGCUUCUUAAGUCGGAUGUGAAAUCCCUGAGCUUAACUUAGGAAUUGCAUUCGAUACUGGGAAGCUAGAGUAUGGGAGAGGAUUGUAGAAUUCCAGGUGUAGCGGUGAAAUGCGUAGAGAUCUGGAGGAAUACCGAUGGCGAAGGCAGCCAUCUGGCCUAAUACUGACGCUGAGGUACGAAAGCAUGGGGAGCAAACAGGAUUAGAGACCCCGGUAGUCCCUGUCUCUUAUAC
This 301-nucleotide ribosomal RNA is filed under the name uncultured bacterium. RNAcentral's name for it is "partial 16S ribosomal RNA". It matches the Rfam family "Bacterial small subunit ribosomal RNA", at positions 509 to 807 of the family's 1533-position model. The record is from RNAcentral.